Molecule: ribosomal RNA, 335 nt
Filed under: uncultured bacterium
Lineage: Bacteria
Description: bacterial SSU rRNA
Rfam family: Bacterial small subunit ribosomal RNA
Source: RNAcentral
AGAGUUUGAUUAUGGCUCAGGAUGAACGCUAGCUACAGGCUUAACACAUGCAAGUCGAGGGGCAGCGGGAUUGAAGCUUGCUUCAAUUGCCGGCGACCGGCGCACGGGUGAGUAACGCGUAUCCAACCUUCCGUACACUCAGGGAUAGCCUUUCGAAAGAAAGAUUAAUACCUGAUGGUAUCUUAAGCACACAUGUAAUUAAGAUUAAAGAUUUAUCGGUGUACGAUGGGGAUGCGUUCCAUUAGGUAGUAGGCGGGGUAACGGCCCACCUAGCCUACGAUGGAUAGGGGUUCUGAGAGGAAGGUCCCCCACAUUGGAACUGAGACACGGUCCAA